This 463-nucleotide unclassified non-coding RNA is filed under the name Hevea brasiliensis (rubber tree). Lineage: Eukaryota; Viridiplantae; Streptophyta; Magnoliopsida; Malpighiales; Euphorbiaceae. The record is from RNAcentral.
GUUUGCUGCCUUGGAGUCUCCGUAUCGGAGUCGAGGAUUCUACUGGUUCUGGAGGUUCUGUGUUAUUUCUGUCAUUGAAAUUAGCAGUUUUGCUGGGUUACUUUUGUGGAGCUAAUAUGAGUUUCACUGGUCCUUCCAUGGGUUCUGGCAGUAAAACUGCUAGAAGGGCAUUUGAGUUUGGAAGGACCUAUGUCGUUAGGCCCAAAGGUAAACAUCAAGCUACUGUUGUGUGGUUACAUGGUUUGGGUGAUAAUGGAUCAAGCUGGUCCCAGCUUUUGGAGACCCUUCCUCUUCCAAAUAUUAAAUGGAUAUGUCCAACUGCUCCAACUCAACCUAUAACUGUAUUUGGAGGCUUCCCAUCCACAGCAUGGUUUGAUGUGGGAGACCUUUCAGAAGAUGCUCCUGACGAUAUAGAGGGUUUGGAUGCUGCAGCAGCACAUGUCGCAAAUUUAUUGUCAACAGA